This 77-nucleotide transfer RNA is filed under the name Actinomycetes bacterium. RNAcentral describes it as "Actinobacteria bacterium tRNA-Asp". It matches the Rfam family "tRNA". From Rfam's summary of the family: Transfer RNA (tRNA) molecules are approximately 80 nucleotides in length. Their secondary structure includes four short double-helical elements and three loops (D, anti-codon, and T loops). Further hydrogen bonds mediate the characteristic L-shaped molecular structure. tRNAs have two regions of fundamental functional importance: the anti-codon, which is responsible for specific mRNA codon recognition, and the 3' end, to which the tRNAs corresponding amino acid is attached (by aminoacyl-tRNA synthetases). tRNAs cope with the degeneracy of the genetic code in two manners: having more than one tRNA (with a specific anti-codon) for a particular amino acid; and 'wobble' base-pairing, i.e. permitting non-standard base-pairing at the 3rd anti-codon position. RNAcentral also lists the same sequence under 3 other names. Lineage: Bacteria; Bacillati; Actinomycetota; Actinomycetes. The record is from RNAcentral.
GGGGGUGUAGCUCAGUCGGUUAGAGCGCUGGCCUGUCAAGCCAGAGGUCGCGGGUUCGAGCCCCGUCACUCCCGCCA